UGGGGAAUUUUGGACAAUGGGCGAAAGCCUGAUCCAGCCAUGCCGCGUGCAGGAUGAAGGCCUUCGGGUUGUAAACUGCUUUUGUACGGAACGAAAAGACUCCUUCUAAUAAAGGGGGUCCAUGACGGUACCGUAAGAAUAAGCACCGGCUAACUACGUGCCAGCAGCCGCGGUAAUACGUAGGGUGCGAGCGUUAAUCGGAGUUACUGGGCGUAAAGCGUGCGCAGGCGGUUAUAUAAGACAGUUGUGAAAUCCCCGGGCUCAACCUGGGAACUGCAUCUGUGACUGUAUAGCUAGAGUACGGUAGAGGGGGAUGGAAUUCCGCGUGUAGCAGUGAAAUGCGUAGAUAUGCGGAGGAACACCGAUGGCGAAGGCAAUCCCCUGGACCUGUACUGACGCUCAUACACGAAAGCGUGGGGAGCAAACA
This 427-nucleotide ribosomal RNA is filed under the name uncultured bacterium. RNAcentral's name for it is "bacterial SSU rRNA". It matches the Rfam family "Bacterial small subunit ribosomal RNA", at positions 355 to 774 of the family's 1533-position model. The record is from RNAcentral.